UGCUAUUUUGGUCAUGUCCAGUUUGUUAGGAUUAUAUUUUUGGUAUGAUGAGAAACGGAGGAAGAAAAAUAAUUCUAGUUUUCCCUCUGAUUUGGAGGAACAAGGGUCUAGGCCAAGACUGAGGCCAAAUACUGGAUCCAUUUGGUUGAAGAUUCAUGAUCUUGAGAAAGCUACAGAAAAUUUUUCCCAGAAGAAUUUUAUCGGUAGAGGAGGGUUUGGUUUUGUUUACAAGGGGAUUUUGUCUGAUGGGACAACUGUAGCUGUUAAGAGGAUUAUAGAAU
RNAcentral lists this unclassified non-coding RNA (281 nucleotides) under Hevea brasiliensis (rubber tree). The record is from RNAcentral. Lineage: Eukaryota; Viridiplantae; Streptophyta; Magnoliopsida; Malpighiales; Euphorbiaceae.